This 460-nucleotide ribosomal RNA is filed under the name uncultured bacterium. RNAcentral's name for it is "partial 16S ribosomal RNA". It matches the Rfam family "Bacterial small subunit ribosomal RNA", at positions 338 to 795 of the family's 1533-position model. The record is from RNAcentral.
CCUACGGGAGGCAGCAGUGAGGAAUAUUGGUCAAUGGACGAGAGUCUGAACCAGCCAAGUAGCGUGAAGGAUGACUGCACUAUGGGUUGUAAACUUCUUUUAUAUGGGAAUAAAAUGUUCCACGUGUGGGAUUUUGUAUGUACCAUAUGAAUAAGGAUCGGCUAACUCCGUGCCAGCAGCCGCGGUAAUACGGAGGAUCCGAGCGUUAUCCGGAUUUAUUGGGUUUAAAGGGAGCGUAGGUGGAUUGUUAAGUCAGUUGUGAAAGUUUGCGGCUCAACCGUAAAAUUGCAGUUGAAACUGGCAGUCGUGAGUACAGUAGAGGUGGGUGGAAUUCGUGGUGUAGCGGUGAAAUGCUUAGAUAUCACGAAGAACUCCGAUUGCGAAGGCAGCUCACUGGACUGCAACUGACACUGAGGCUCGAAAGUGUGGGUAUCAAACAGGAUUAGAUACCCCAGUAGUC